Molecule: ribosomal RNA, 497 nt
Filed under: uncultured bacterium
Lineage: Bacteria
Description: partial 16S ribosomal RNA
Rfam family: Bacterial small subunit ribosomal RNA
Source: RNAcentral
GACGAACGCUGGCGGCGUGCCUAAUACAUGCAAGUUGAGCGAUGAGGAGUGGUGCUUGCUCCAAUGUGAAUAGCAGCGAACGGGUGAGUAACACGUGGGGAAUCUACCUUUAAGCGUGGGACAACAUUUGGAAACGAAUGCUAAUACCGCAUAACAACUUUAAACAUAUGGUUUAAGUUUGAAAGAUGCUUUUGCUUUCACCUAUAAUUGUACCGCCUUGUAUUAGCUAGUUUGUGAGGUGAAGGCUCUCCAAGGCGGUGAUACAGUACCCGCCUGGAAAGGUGAUCGGCCCCAUUGGGACGGGACAACGGCCCAAACCCCUCCGGGAGGCAGCAGUAGGGAAUCUUCGGCAAUGGGCGAAAGUCUGACCGAGCAACGCCGCGUGAGUGAAGAAGGUUUUCGGAUCGUAAAACUCUGUUGGUAGAGAAGAACGUUGGUGAGAGUGGAAAGCUCAUCAAGUGACGGUAACUACCCAGAAAGGGACGGCUAACUACGUG